AGAUGGCAAUAUGUCUUGCAUCAUUUCCUACACGUGAUGCACAAUGAUUACCUUUAGGACGCUCAUUGACAGAUUCAAGCCUCUUUGGAAUUCUGUUAUUUUCUGCAGUUGGUGGACUGGAACAUGAUAGAGAUUCCUGCGACGAAAAACUUCUCUUCCUUGAGUGCCUUUCAGGAUUCUUUGAGAUAUUGUCAUCUAUAUCAGUGCCUAUCGGCAAAUUUCUGCACUCUUGAUGUGCUUGAGCACAGGUAAUAUGCGACGUGCUUAUAUCAUUAACCAAGUCAUUUGUCUUUGCAUGGUUUAUAGGUGCAACUGCUCUUCUACCAGACCCACAAGUUCCAUAUACUGCUACAACACUUGGUGCUGUAUCUACCAAAAUAUUCUCUUCUGUGAAUUGAUCAGGAAGUUUUUCAAAAUUGCCAUCACUCACCUCAGAUACUUUAAAGCUAACUUCAGCUUGAUUUCUUGGAUGUUCCCUCGACUUGGCAUCAUUUAUCCCCAUCUCCAUCUCUUGUCUUUCGAAAGUAGAUUCAGGUUUCCCUGAAAAGCCCAAACUUGAAGAACUGACUUUCUCUUUCUGCAUCUUAAAUCCAACACUGCUACAAUUGAAAGUCUUCUCUCUUUGGUCAGAAUAGGGAAUUCUAAUGUCAUCCUUAUUCCCAUCCUUCUUAGCGAAAGAGGUAAUGGAGUUGAAGAAGUCGCAUGGCCUAAACAAUGUAUACUCAGCUGUCAUUUUCAAAGGCUUUCUAGCACUAAAUGAUUGAAAAUUGCCAGAACUCAGUAUCUGGAGUUCAGAAUAUUUUGUGUUUAAACUCAUCCCAGCAGAAGAAUUAGACUUAAGUCUCUCGGCCAUAUGCGAACACUUAGGCGAGCUGCAGAACAAUGAGACCUACAACAGGUGUGAACAAUGUGAGGAAGAGGGAAAUAUUUUUAUUAGGACUGUUAUUCUGCAAGCCAUACUAAUUACGAAUAAUUCUUCAAACGCACUCCUUGAUGAAUUUAGUAUCUAAAAAUGGUGUAUGCAGGAUUGCAAACAACAUGUUUUUGCAAAUGAAAUGCUUGGUUAUAUUAUAUAUAAAAUUAAAAAUUACAUUUUGUCUCUCUUCAGUAGGAAUCCAGUAGGUGACUCGGAGAUGGUAUAUUUGAUUUAACAUAUUACUCAACUCGAUUACUUCUAAUGACAUAACAAUGGAUUAGGUUACAAAUGUAAUAGCUGUUGAUAAUUUCAGGCUCAAGCAGAUAUAAUGACUUGCUCCUUUUAAUAACAGCAUAAGGUCCAUCUGGUUCUACUUCUAGAAUUAUAAAGAUCAAACCAGAUAUUACACUGAUUAAACUUCCCUCCAAACAUACUGCACAGGUUUGAGGAGCAAAGAUGGGCAGCUGACCACGGCUACCAUCAUCCCCUACUUCAAACUCCACGUAAGCCGAAACUGACCUUCUCUUGCAACUCCACCAACAUGGGCAUGGGUGGGUGAGAGGAGACGACCAGGCCAGAUAUGCAGGAGGGAAAAGAGUGGAGAGACUUUGGUAAAGGGAGAAUGAAGGAGAGAAGGUUGAGAAAAGAAGGGAAGAGGAAAUAAAGAACAAUUCGAUUUCUAAAAUACUUCCCUAUGUAUGGAAUCCAAAUUAAAACAUCAAUAUUUAUUCAUGUUUAAUGACUAAGUACUUCAUUUUU
This 1675-nucleotide long non-coding RNA is filed under the name Coffea arabica (coffee). RNAcentral describes it as "long non-coding RNA (CARA_LNC003030)". Lineage: Eukaryota; Viridiplantae; Streptophyta; Magnoliopsida; Gentianales; Rubiaceae. The record is from RNAcentral.